UACGUAGGGUGCAAGCGUUAAUCGGAAUUACUGGGCGUAAAGCGUGCGCAGGCGGUCUUGUAAGUCUGUCGUGAAGUCCUCGGGCUCAACCUGAGAAUUGCGAUGGAGACUGCAAGGCUAGAAUCUGGCAGAGGGGGGUAGAAUUCCACGUGUAGCAGUGAAAUGCGUAGAGAUGUGGAGGAACACCGAUGGCGAAGGCAGCCCCCUGGGUCAAGAUUGACGCUCAUGCACGAAAGGCGUG
Molecule: ribosomal RNA, 241 nt
Filed under: uncultured bacterium
Lineage: Bacteria
Description: partial 16S ribosomal RNA
Rfam family: Bacterial small subunit ribosomal RNA
Source: RNAcentral